RNAcentral lists this ribosomal RNA (473 nucleotides) under uncultured bacterium. RNAcentral describes it as "bacterial SSU rRNA". It matches the Rfam family "Bacterial small subunit ribosomal RNA", at positions 28 to 507 of the family's 1533-position model. The record is from RNAcentral.
GACGAACGCUGGCGGCGUGCCUAACACAUGCAAGUCGAGCGGGGUUGAAGCGAGGGGUAACUCGAGUUUCUACCUAGCGGCGGACGGGUGAGUAACGCGUGGGCAACCUGCCUCAAGGACUGGGAUAACAGCUCGAAAGGGCUGCUAAUACCGGAUAAGCCUAUGGCCUCGCAUGGGGCCAUGAGCAAAGGGGAAACCCGCCUUGAGAUGGGCCCGCGUCCCAUCAGCUAGUUGGUGAGGUGAAGGCUCACCAAGGCGACGACGGGUAGCCGGCCUGAGAGGGUGACCGGCCACACUGGGACUGAGACACGGCCCAGACUCCUACGGGGGGCAGCAGUGGGGAAUCUUGCACAAUGGGCGAAAGCCUGAUGCAGCGACGCCGCGUGAGCGAAGAAGGCCUCGGUGUAAAGCUCUGUCUGGAGGGACGAAGGAAGUGACGGUACCGUCCGGAGGAAGCCACGGCUAACUACGUG